RNAcentral lists this unclassified non-coding RNA (384 nucleotides) under soil metagenome. Its description in RNAcentral is "partial contains 5.8S ribosomal RNA, internal transcribed spacer 2, and large subunit ribosomal RNA". The stretch from base 1 to 120 matches the Rfam family "5.8S ribosomal RNA", at positions 35 to 154 of the family's 154-position model. The record is from RNAcentral.
GAUGAAGAACGCAGUGAAAUGCGAUAAGUAAUGUGAAUUGCAGAAUUCAGUGAAUCAUCGAAUCUUUGAACGCACCUUGCACCCUUUGGCAUUCCGAAGGGUAUGCUCGUUUGAGUGUCAUUGUACUCUCACUCUCCCGAUGCUUUUGGAUCGAGAGUGGUGGACUUGGGUGUUGCUGCUUUGCUGUGGCUCGCCUCAAAUGGAGUAGUGCAACUCUUGGUUGGACAUAGUACGGCGUGAUAAGUGUCUUCGCCGGCGCCUCAUUAUAGAGGGUGGCCGAUCGGGAGCUCUGUGCUUCAAACCGUCUUCGGACAACAUCUGACAACUUGACCUCAAAUCGAGUAGGACUACCCGCUGAACUUAAGCAUAUCAAUAAGCGGAGGA